This is a small nuclear RNA of Sapajus apella (tufted capuchin), 105 nucleotides long. The record is from RefSeq and is a predicted model, not a curated record. NCBI's taxonomy places the organism in Eukaryota, Metazoa, Chordata, Mammalia, Primates, Cebidae.
GUGCUCAAUUUCAGCAUCACAUACACCAAAGUUGAAACAACAUAGAGAUUAGCGUGGCACCUCUGCAAAAAUGACAUGCAAAUUUGUGAAGUGUUUCAUAUUUUC